UUGUGAAUUUGCCUAAUUCACAUCUUACCCAUUUAAUUAACUUGGUUCACAUCCCACGCUAUUAUAACACCUCAGCUGAUAGGCUAGCCAAGGAGGGUGCAGUUAGAGAGAAACUAUUAGCUGCAUGGUUGGGUUGACUUUUGCUGGUUUAAUUGCUAAGUUGGUUUUCUCUUCCAUAAUCAUGGUGCAGAUGUCUAGUUUCUUUUCUAUUUAUGAUCCUUUUUCUCUGAGCAAGUUUAAGGCUAGGUCAAGCUAUUGGUAAUGAUGGUGCAAUGCUUGUUAAUGCUGGUGUGAAUAUGCAAGUACCUAAUGGUGCAGUGCAUGCUAUCGGUGUUGCUCUCAAUGAAGGUAAUGAGGAGUGCUUU
This 365-nucleotide long non-coding RNA is filed under the name Daucus carota (carrot). RNAcentral describes it as "long non-coding RNA (DCAR_LNC005189)". Lineage: Eukaryota; Viridiplantae; Streptophyta; Magnoliopsida; Apiales; Apiaceae. The record is from RNAcentral.